Molecule: ribosomal RNA, 253 nt
Filed under: uncultured bacterium
Lineage: Bacteria
Description: partial 16S ribosomal RNA
Rfam family: Bacterial small subunit ribosomal RNA
Source: RNAcentral
UACGGAGGAUGCAAGCGUUAUCCGGAAUUAUUGGGCGUAAAGCGUCCGUAGGUGGUUUUGAAAGUCUAUUGUCAAAGCGCGGGGCUUAACCUCGUAAGGGCAGUAGAAACUAUGAGACUAGAGUUCGGUAGGGGUCAGGGGAAUUCCCAGUGUAGCGGUGAAAUGCGUAGAUAUUGGGAAGAACACCAGCGGCGAAAGCGCCUGACUGGGCCUGAACUGACACUGAUGGACGAAAGCUAGGGGAGCGAAAGGG